AGGACGAACGCUGGCGGCGUGCCUAACACAUGCAAGUCGAACGGGGUCCAUCCGGUGGCAACACCGGAGAAGACCCAGUGGCGAACGGGUGCGGAACACGUGAGCAACCUGCCCCGAAGAUCGGGAUAACGGCGGGAAACUGCCGCUAAUACCGAAUGCCCCCACGAGCCCGCAUGGUCUGGCGGGGAAAAGGAUUCCGCUUCGGGAGGGGCUCGUGGCCUAUCAGCUAGUUGGUGGGGUAACGGCCUACCAAGGCUUCGACGGGUAGCUGGUCUGAGAGGACGAUCAGCCACACUGGGACUGAGACACGGCCCAGACUCCUACGGGAGGCAGC
This 334-nucleotide ribosomal RNA is filed under the name uncultured prokaryote. RNAcentral's name for it is "bacterial SSU rRNA". It matches the Rfam family "Bacterial small subunit ribosomal RNA", at positions 26 to 352 of the family's 1533-position model. The record is from RNAcentral.